This 74-nucleotide transfer RNA is filed under the name Candidatus Bathyarchaeota archaeon. RNAcentral's name for it is "tRNA-Met". It matches the Rfam family "tRNA". From Rfam's summary of the family: Transfer RNA (tRNA) molecules are approximately 80 nucleotides in length. Lineage: Archaea; Thermoproteati; Candidatus Bathyarchaeota. The record is from RNAcentral.
AGCGGGGUAGAGAAGUAGUAUCUCGUGGGUCCCAUAAGCCCAAGACCCAGGUGCAAGUCCUGGCCCCGCGACCA